UAUGAUUGAGUAUAAGAACUUAAA
This 24-nucleotide non-coding RNA is filed under the name Arabidopsis thaliana (thale cress). Lineage: Eukaryota; Viridiplantae; Streptophyta; Magnoliopsida; Brassicales; Brassicaceae. The record is from RNAcentral.